CUCACACAACGACACUGCGUAACAUGUAAAAACUGCAAAUUUGCCUAUAUUCGACCCCUGAAAAAAGGUCGGUACCCAGACGCCUUAAACAGGUGUAAAAUUAAAUAAACUAAAAUAAAUCAACUAAUAAUUAAAAAAUUGGAUUUAAAUAAGUGAUACGGUCACAUUUUGUGCACAAAUCUUGGUUCAGUUAAUAACAUUUAACAGCUUGGUCAGCAUUUAUGCUUAUUACAGAUAGAUAUACAGGAACCCGCUGUCAAUGUUAAUAUACACAUUUUUACAGAAAACUGUUUGUGAAAAUGUAGUGCAACAAGCAGUUGAGACCUACCAUAUGAAUGUUUAACAUCUAAUUAAUAUUAUUUGAACUUAUUAUUAUUAUUUAAUUGUGAUUUAAAAAAUUAUAAUUCUCAUAAUGUUUAUAGCACAUUGUCAUCUCCCUGAUGUACAUUUUCAACAUAUCUUGAAUCCAUAGAUUAUUAUUUUAUUUUAUUUUAUUAUUAAUAAACCUUAUUAUUUGAUUCCA
This is a long non-coding RNA of Daktulosphaira vitifoliae (grape phylloxera), 523 nucleotides long. RefSeq lists it as uncharacterized. The record is from RefSeq and is a predicted model, not a curated record. NCBI's taxonomy places the organism in Eukaryota, Metazoa, Arthropoda, Insecta, Hemiptera, Phylloxeridae. The transcript is spliced from 2 exons.